RNAcentral lists this ribosomal RNA (506 nucleotides) under uncultured bacterium. RNAcentral's name for it is "partial 16S ribosomal RNA". It matches the Rfam family "Bacterial small subunit ribosomal RNA", at positions 30 to 523 of the family's 1533-position model. The record is from RNAcentral.
AUUGAACGCUGGCGGCAUGCCUUACACAUGCAAGUCGAACGGCAGCACAGGAGAGCUUGCUCUCUGGGUGGCGAGUGGCGGACGGGUGAGGAAUACAUCGGAAUCUACUUUUUCGUGGGGGAUAACGUAGGGAAACUUACGCUAAUACCGCAUACGACCUACGGGUGAAAGCAGGGGACCUUCGGGCCUUGCGCGAUUGAAUGAGCCGAUGUCGGAUUAGCUAGUUGGCGGGGGAAAGGCCCACCAAAGCGACGUGCCGUAGCUGGUCUGAGAGGAUGAUCAGCCACACUGGAACUGAGACACGUUCCAGACUCCUACGGGAGGCAGCAGUGGGGAAUAUUGGACAAUGGGCGCAAGCCUGAUCCAGCCAUACCGCGUGGGUGAAGAAGGCCUUCGGGUUGUAAAGCCCUUUUGUUGGGAAAGAAAUCCAGCUGGCUAAUACCCGGUUGGGAUGACGGUACCCAAAGAAUAAGCACCGGCUAACCUCGUGCCAGCCGCCGCCGUAA